GCCGCGUGUGUGAAGAAGGCCUUCGGGUUGUAAAGCACUUUCAGUAGGGAGGAAAGGUAAUAGUUUAAUAAACUAUUACUGUGACGUUACCUACAGAAGAAGGACCGGCUAACUCCGUGCCAGCAGCCGCGGUAAUACGGAGGGUCCGAGCGUUAAUCGGAAUUACUGGGCGUAAAGCGUGCGCAGGCGGUUUGUUAAGCCAGAUGUGAAAUCCCCGGGCUCAACCUGGGAAUUGCAUUUGGAACUGGCGAACUAGAGUCUUGUAGAGGGGGGUAGAAUUCCAGGUGUAGCGGUGAAAUGCGUAGAUAUCUGGAGGAAUACCGGUGGCGAAGGCGGCCCCCUGGACAAAGACUGACGCUCAUGCACGAAAGCGUGGGGAGCAAACAGGAUUAGAUACCCUGGUAGUCCACGCCGUAAACGAUGUCUACUCGGAGUUUGGUGACUUA
Molecule: ribosomal RNA, 446 nt
Filed under: Arctic sea ice bacterium AWS-11B5
Lineage: Bacteria; Pseudomonadati; Pseudomonadota; Gammaproteobacteria
Description: bacterial SSU rRNA
Rfam family: Bacterial small subunit ribosomal RNA
Source: RNAcentral